Non-coding RNA from Podarcis lilfordi (Lilford's wall lizard), 1460 nucleotides. Lineage: Eukaryota; Metazoa; Chordata; Lepidosauria; Squamata; Lacertidae. The record is from the annotation of a GenBank genome assembly.
GGCUGGGGGGUGGAGCUUGCAUGCCUUGUGCCAAUCAAAUCGGCCACGUUGCGUGGGGACUCGCCUUUGCUCAGCGCUUCCCAGCGGAGAGGUGACAGUGGUUUUCCUUGCUGCAUCCCCUUUGCCGGGUUGCUGCACUGUGGGAACCACCGCUUGAGGCUUCAUUUGGCUGCUGGCUGGGCUUUCUGCCUUUGGCUUGGAGGGGCUCAGAAGUUGAACAUACCUGUGCUUGGAAAAUCCCUUAUUUUGGCUGCUGAUCCCUUAUUUUUGAGGCUGCUGGUCCCUUAUUUUCAAAUCUGUAAGUUGACAGCUAUGGCCCCAAGUGUGGGGGCAAAGAGGCUACAUUUCAGGGGUUCAGGGGGGCAGAAAGGAGCUAUGGAACAGGGCAGAGGGUAAUUAUGGUGAUGAGAAAAUCCUGGUCCGUGGUUUAAUUCCCCACGCAGACUUGACCGUUCUUCCCGAGGGCAGAGAUUUCUCUUGGCCUGGACCCUUGGCUGCUGGAAGGAAAAAAGGCAGAUAAAUGGUCGCCAUGGUGACCAGGCCUUGGCCAAGCUCUGAGACAAUGGACCAGUGUGAAGGAGCCAUGGGGUGGGAUGCCUCCAGUGGCUCUGAGCCCAGAAGACCCCAGGAUCAUGUCAGUCUCCCGGAGACAAAAUGAAGCUGUCCUUCAGCAGCAAAGUGGCGUCAGGAACUCCUGACCCCACCGCCAUUUACAGAGUCCUGAAUUUUAGUUAUGAGUAAAUCUGGAGGCGGGUGCAAAGAGGAGAAACCAGUCAGUGAGCAGGGAGAGCUUUUUGGAGGAGGACGUUGGGAAACAGAGGGUAAACUUCAAUUUCUCACCAGACUUCAUAGAAGGCCAAAUAAAAGGAUCCUUUAGUUCUGUAUUUGUGCCAAUAAGUGCAGGGUUCGAAUGUUAGAAUUGUAGAGUUUCCAGGGAUGCGGGGCACAAUAUCAUGAUGGUGGAUUGGGAGAAAUUGUGGGAAAGGGGAAUCAAAUUUACAGCUUGUAAUGUAUUAAGAGAAAAAUUGAUGAAAAUGAUGUACAGAUGGUAUUUAACACCAGUGAAGUUAGCAAAAAUGUAUCAUACUCAUGAUAAUAAAUGCUGGAAAUGUAGAGAAAAAGAAGGAACCUUUUACCACAUGUGGUGGACGUGCCCCAAGGUAAAAGACUUCUGGGAAAGGAUUUAUAAUGAAUUGAAAAGAAGUGUUGAAAAACACAUUUACUAAAAAAACAGAAGCCUUUUUACUUGGUAUAGUGGGGGGUAAAAUCCCCAAAAAGGAUGUUAUUUUUUUUUCUGUAUGCCACAACAGCUGUGAGAAUAUUGUUAGCGAAGAAUUGGAAGAAACAAGAUUUACCAGCUAUCGAAGAAUGGCAGAUGAAGAUGAUGGACUAUAUGGAACAUGCCGAACUGACCGGGAGACUCUGAGACCAGAGAGAUGAGACAGUGGAAGAAGACUGGA